UUUAGUUCCAGCCCACUGCCUGCGUUGGAAGUCCGAGAGGAAACGAACACAGGGAGUUCUCCGGGAGGCUGACUUACACUUCCUCACGGAUGCGGGAGACUUGGGUUUUCCAAGCUAAAGGUGACAUUUCAUCGUCUCCCAACAUUGUACCUGAUGAUUUGGUGUUUGCAAAGCUGAGCACCGAAUUUCAUGUGUGUGCACUACAAAUUGGAUCUGCAGGUCCAGCCACGUCAGACCCCAUCAGCCACUCUUGUUCUCUGGACUUGCCUAAACCAUUCCAGGAAUUACCGGAUACCUGAUUGCAUGCAGCUGUGGAAUACUGUCUUCAUCCUCUUUUCAUGGAAAUCCUGUGAGUCCUUCAAAACCCAGCAAGCAAGGCCACUCAUCUUCCCUCACUCCCCUGGCGGAAGCAGAGCUCCCUCUUUAGAAGACUUGGUCAUUUGCACAAACCUCCAUUCCAGGACGUGUAAUGGAAUGACAUGUGGUUGUCUGUCUUCUCCCACUGGGCUCUGAACCCUCAUCAUGAUUAACAGGCACAGUUUCUUCAUCGUUGUCAAUGGUACACUGUUUGCACUGGAUCAGCAUCUGGUGACUGAGUUGCAGGCUGUUAAAAGUAAUGCUGUAGAAGAAUUUAGGACACGGAUUCUGUGGCAUCCAGUUGGAAAUGU
This 668-nucleotide long non-coding RNA is filed under the name Camelus dromedarius (Arabian camel). Its description in RNAcentral is "lncRNA (ENSCDRG00005012177.1)". The record is from RNAcentral. Lineage: Eukaryota; Metazoa; Chordata; Mammalia; Artiodactyla; Camelidae.